This 67-nucleotide transfer RNA is filed under the name Loxocera sinica. RNAcentral describes it as "tRNA-Leu". Lineage: Eukaryota; Metazoa; Arthropoda; Insecta; Diptera; Psilidae. The record is from RNAcentral.
ACUAUUUUGGCAGAAAAGUGUAAUAAAUUUAGAAUUUAUAAAUAUAAUUUUAGAAUUAUAAAUAGUA